UUAUAGAAAACUGUUCCAUAAUGCAUAACUAAUCAAUGUGAUAUUAUUUAUGUGUUUGCAGUGUCCACAGAGUUUAUAUACCCUUCUAAAGGGCCAUCUGUUGUGGUAACAUAAUGACUUCUGGCUUCCUCUUGAGGGACACAAAAUCCAGCUGUUGCUACAUGACGGUAGGAGUAUGAGAGGAAAUCUAUUUGCAGUAAUUCUCUUGAGACAGUGGAUACAGCAGAGUUUUGGAUCAUGGCCACAGCCCAAGAGUGAAGACUCCUCCCUGAUGCUAAGAUAAAGGCUGAUUUUGCUGUGGUUUCUAAACAGGAUUAAUAUUUUCAAGUCACUCUUGUCGUUCACACACAUAAAUCAUUCAGGAUUUUACUGGGUGCACAAAUUACUCUAUUGAAUUAUCAUCAAAAAUGUUUUCAAUCCUACGUGGACAAUUCAGGGCUAUGGUGCGAGUGAAGCUGGCCAAACAAGAUCACAGAUCAAAUAUUUACUGCAAGCCACCUAAGGAAAAGAUCGGACCUGGGCAGACGGUGUUUACCAUGUCCAUCUUUGCACUUGGUCUCCUGGUCCCUGCUGGUUGGAUCAUGUACCACAUCCCAGUAUACCGCCAAACACCACCUUCAGGAGUUUGAACUUAGGGACAACCUACAUCACUCACUCUCUGCCACAUCACAUAGCUUUUUGCUUGCUGAAAUAAAAUGUGAUUUCUCACUUG
Molecule: long non-coding RNA, 712 nt
Organism: Ictalurus furcatus (blue catfish)
Lineage: Eukaryota; Metazoa; Chordata; Actinopteri; Siluriformes; Ictaluridae
Exons: 3
Source: RefSeq, a predicted model, not a curated record